AUCGGUGUGCUAGCGCCGGCGAUCUCACCUUCCGGCGGAGAGUCAACAGUGGGGAGCUCACCGUGAGGACUUUGAUCGAGGCGGGUAUUGUGACAAGGUUGACGUCGGAUUCAGCCUACAUUUGAGGCGGGUAGCUGAUAGCGAUGCUAGUACGCUUGGAGGAGGAUCCCGACUGCCGG
Zingiber officinale is the source of this 179-nucleotide long non-coding RNA. RefSeq lists it as uncharacterized. NCBI's taxonomy places the organism in Eukaryota, Viridiplantae, Streptophyta, Magnoliopsida, Zingiberales, Zingiberaceae. The transcript has 3 exons. The record is from RefSeq and is a predicted model, not a curated record.